CUUUACUACCAACAAGUUCUUACUUUUAAAUUUUCUUUGAGUCACAUUAGUUUCUUUCAGUCGGUUAGUCAGAAUCAAGUUCCAUUAGUUUCUUUCAGUCAGUCGGUCCGAGUCAAUUCCAUUAAAAUUUCCUAUGAGUUAUCCUUGUGUCAUGAUCCUAUAGUUCAAAUUCGAUUGGGAAUUCCACGGGUUGAAAAUAUCUUUGAGUUCAUUGUGUUCUUUAAAGCUCUUGGAAGAAAGCACCAAGUGGUAAAAGGCAGAGUGGUGAGCUUAUUAGAGGGUAAAAGCCAUAUUGUGUGAUUUCUGAGUGAAAACAGGUGAGGCAGAUAAAUUGCUAGUUUUAGGAUGUCUGAACGAGAAGAUUCCAAUUCAAGCCGACACGGCAAUCAUAACUGUGCAACGGAUGAUUUGAUGCAGCUGUUUGAGAGUGCAUUUGGAGUUGUAAGGGAUAUGUUAGAUCAACAAGACGCUUGGAGGAUUAAGCAGGAAGCUUGGAUUACUAGGUUGGAUACAUCGGUGGCUAACCUUAGUAGGGGACAACCAGUGGAUGUGUCAAAUGCUAGGGGACCGGGUAGGAGAGAACCUAGGAGAGUAAGGCGUGAGGAGUUUGAUAGUGAUAUGAAUGAGUUUGAGGCUAAUGACAUGGAUUGGGGACGGACGAGGAAUAAAGGAGAUAGGUUUGAAAGAAGGGGUAGGAAUAAUCAUGGAGACGAGAUGGAUGGAAAUUUGGAAAACAUAAAGAUGACCAUUCCACAGUUUAAAGGGAGAAGUGAUCCGAAAGCAUAUUUAGUGUGGAAAAGAAAGGUAGAGUUGAUCUUUGAAUGUUAUAACUAUUCGGAGGAGAAAAAGGUGAGGUUGGUGAUUUUAGAAUUUAUAGACUAUGCAAUAACUUGGUGGGAUCAAGUAGUUACUUCACAACGUAGGUGUGUGGGUAGACUGAUUAGCUCUUGGGAAAAGUUGAAGGCAUUGAUGAGAAAACGGUUUGUUCCUAGUCACUACUAUAGGGAGGUCCAUCAAAAAUUGCAAAGUUUGUACCAAGGGUCGGAAAGUGUGGAAGAUUACCACAAAAAGAUGGAGAUUCUUAUGAUUAUGGCAAAUGUGGUUGAGGAUCGGGAAGCUACCAUGGCACGAUUCUUGAAUGGGCUAAAUCGAGAAAUUGCUAACGUAGUAGAAUUGCAACAUUAUGUGGAAUUAGAAGAUAUGUUGCAUGUAGCCAUGAAGGUAGAGAGGCAAUUGAAGAGAAAGGGGAAAGUUAGACCACAAAUGGGUGCUUCGAGUUCUAAUUCAUCUUGAAAAUUGAGGUGGGACAACAACAAAGGAAAUAGGGUUGUACCUAAAGAUAGAAAUGAAUGGCAGAAGGGAAAGGACGAAGGAGCUAGCAAAACAACACCAAAAUUGGAUUCACAACCAUCAAGGAGUCAAGACAUCAAGUGCUUUAGAUGUUUGGGGUCGAGGCACAUAAGUUGCAAUGGUUAAAUGAAAGUGGAGAAGUUAGGGUUAAUCGAAGGGUGUUAAUCAAUCUCUCAAUUGGAAGUUAUCGGGAUGAGGUAGUGUGCGAUGUAGUGCCAAUGCAGGCGGGACAUAUCUUGUUAGGGAGAUCUUAGCAGUAUGAUAGAAAGGCUAAGCAUGAUGGGUGCAAGAAUCGCUACAGUUUUGUUAAGGAUAGAAAGACCAUUACACUUGUGCCAUUAACUCCAGCGCAGGUAUAUGAAGAUCAAGUUAAGCUAAGGAACGAGGAAGGGAGGAGAAUAAAAGAGCUAGAAAAAAAGAGAGAAAACAAUGAGGUUGUGGGGACGAGUAAAAAAUUGUAAGGCGGCUGUUAGAGAGAAAAAGAGAGAGGAGCCACAAGAGAGAAAAGAAAGAGAGUCUUUCGAGAGAAAAUAGAAGUCACGAGCGAAUUUCUUUGCAAAAAUGAGUGAUUUGAAGAGAGCGGUGGUUGAGAAGAAAGAAAUGAUUUUAUUGUUGUAGAAAGAAACACUCCUCAACUUUGAGGAGACUAACCCACCCCUCCCUAGUUUGGUUAAGUUUUUGUUGCAGGAAUUCGAAGACAUAUUCCCGGAGGACAUGGCUAGUGGGUUACCACCCAUUCGAGGCAUUGAACACCAGACUGACUUCGUACCUGGAGCUGUUAUUCCAAAUCGACCAGCUUACCGAAGCAAUCCCUAGGAGACAAAGGAACUUCAACGACAAGUAGAGGAGUUGAUGAGCAAGGGUUAUAUAAGGGAGAGUAUGAGUCUAUAUACAGUACUAGUAUUGCUUGUGCCAAAGAAAGAUGGAUCUUAGAGAAUGUGCAUGGAUUGCAGAGCCAUCAACAAUAUAACGGUAAAGUAUCGUCACCCUAUACUUAGGCUAGAUGAUACGCUUGAUGAAUUGCAUGAUGCUUGUACUUUUAGUAAAAUUGAACUUAAGAGCGGGUACCAUCAAAUUUGCAUACGGG
This 2437-nucleotide long non-coding RNA is filed under the name Olea europaea subsp. europaea. Lineage: Eukaryota; Viridiplantae; Streptophyta; Magnoliopsida; Lamiales; Oleaceae. The record is from RNAcentral.